Long non-coding RNA from Callithrix jacchus (white-tufted-ear marmoset), 1861 nucleotides. RefSeq lists it as uncharacterized. The record is from RefSeq and is a predicted model, not a curated record. NCBI's taxonomy places the organism in Eukaryota, Metazoa, Chordata, Mammalia, Primates, Cebidae.
CCUGUCCCUACUACCUAAUCCUAGGUAGCAGCAUUUCUCCUGGCUCCCCCCAGCCUCAAGCUCCAGAUCAACUGCAAGAACAAACCAGCAAUUUCAGGAGGACCCACAGACCCUUUGAAAGAAGAGGACUCCUCCUGCAGGAUCCGGGGGACACCCCAAAUACUGUAAGAUCCCCUCAGGGACCACUGAUGAAGUUCACAUGGCCAAACUCAAACUGCAAGGAGGAAGGAAAAACAAGCACUGGAAUUUUCACCUUUAUAGUGAGAAGUGGGUACUUCCAGCAGAGUUAGGAGACAAUAGAAGACAAGAAAUGGAAAAAAGAAUCUAUGACGGUCACAGUAACCAGAGAUCUGCAAUGAAGUUGCCUUGCAUAAAAUAUUGAGGGAUCGAUUCAAGAUGGCGCAGUAAGAACAACUCAGGAUUGCAGCUCUCAGUAAAGGCACAGAGGGAAACAUCUUUAUUGGCCAUCGUCUAAGUCAAUAUUGUUGCAAGGGACAUUUGAUCAAGCUAAUGAAACACUGGACUCCUUCAGCUUCAACAAAUGGAAGAUGAAUAAAACAAACUGUUAUCAUUUUCCAUGGGGCCAAGAAAAGAAAUUCUGCAGACAGAACAGCUGUAUUCUCUUUAUGGUCUGACAACACACAAAAAGAACAACAGUCAUUGCUUUCACCAGAAAUCUAGGCUUAAGCCCAUGGUGGUCUGACUUUACUUCCCAUCCCCCACCCUCCCAGGACUUUUCUCUAAAGACAGCUAUGCAUGCCUCUUUUGUUGUCAUAUGUGUACACAGAGACAUUGCCGCCAAAGGCCAGGGUCUCUGUGGAAUUGCUCUACACUUCCCUUGUUGUUCUCCUACCCCUCACUUAUCAACCCAACUAUUGGGAGAGAGUGUUUUCUGUUCUGUUCAUCCCACCCUUGGACUAUUCCACAGGUGAGUGACUUUCAAAGUUUUCUGAGAGGGGCCCAGCCUACACCUAUAUGCACACUGACAUCCACACACUGUUGGGCAUGUUUCUCUGCACACAGAAGCUACUCAGGUAAUUUUUGCUUUACUCCCCUUUACCUAUCACCAACUCAAAGUUUGAUUCGUUUAUAACCUGUGCUGAGACACUUAGAAUGCCCCAAGAAGAAAAUGCUGUUCACAGCCACUGACCUACCCAAAUUCUUAUUCCAGCGAGUCACAUUACUCUUGUAAUAUGAAACCCUUGGUGGUCUUGCUUUUGAGGGUCACUCAGCUUCACUGCAACUGGGGUACACACAGACAAGACUCCGUCAGUCCCAGGCAGCUUUCCUGAGCCUUGGGCAGACCAACUUACCACGAAUCUUAGGCAUCUGUUGUCCCUUGCUGCCUAUCUGUAAGGAAUAAACCUGCUUUGUGUAACUUGUGUAUGAAUGCUCUAUCUCACUAGACAACUGCAAGUGAUAGAAAUUGAGACACCCCAAUGUGUAGUGUGGUGAGAUAUUUAGAGUCUUCCCCUAGGAUUGAAACCAGUAUACAGUGUACCUGCCACAGAGGGUUCAAGCAUUGGAUAUGAGUUUAGACAAAGUGUUCGAAAGUGUUCCUUCAAUCCUUAGAUUCUGUAAUUCUUGGGUAGAAAAUAUUUCUACUAAAAAAAAUUCUGACAUCUCUAUUUUUCCCUGCAUUUCUUCCUAUCAUUUUUCUGAUACAUAACCCCUGAUGUUGUACCCCCUGAAAAAUGACCCAACUUCUCAAAUGUCUGUGUCCUUAUUGAGUACAUUAAACUCUCCCUUAAUGCCCACCAUUUGGAAAAACCAUGUAUUAUAUUUAAGCCCUAAGUACAUUGCUUGGCAGAAAUACAUCCUGCAGUAUUUUAAAUAUGAGGUCUGUUUAUGGCAUUGCUUC